CUUCCUUCCUUCCUUUCUUCCUUCCCUUCAGAUAUAUCUAUGAAAUAGCCAGACAGAACCCAUUCAUCUUUGCCCUCACACUCUUGUCUCUGGCUGCUCACUACAAAGAAGUCAGCGCUAGUUGUUGUCAAGAAGAAAACAAACAUGAAUGCUUCCACACAAAGGCAACAAUUAUUGCAAAUGAUUGAAAAGAAAUCUCUGCCAAGCAGCAAAACCUCUGUGGGGUAUUGAGGCAAUUUAGACCCAAAGGAGUGAAACUUCAGAAAGUUGUGGAAAUCAGCCAAAAAUUCCCCAAGAUUGACUUUAAAGAACUUGACAUACUCUUGAAAGGUAUUCCGACCAUGAUCGAUGGGUGCUGCCAAGGGGAUGUAGUUCACUGUUUCCAUAGUGAGGAAGAAGAAUUCCUAAGGGUACCAGCAGAAACCCAGGCCAUUGCAAAACUGGAGUGUGGCUAUUUCCAGACACUAGGCAAAGAAGGCUUCCUUAAUCAGUAUGCCUAAUUCUUAGAGAGCUUUGGGGAAUAAAUAAAAAUCGAACCAUAAACCCA
This 547-nucleotide long non-coding RNA is filed under the name Vombatus ursinus (common wombat). RNAcentral's name for it is "lncRNA (ENSVURG00010009615.1)". Lineage: Eukaryota; Metazoa; Chordata; Mammalia; Diprotodontia; Vombatidae. The record is from RNAcentral.